CUACGUGCCAGCAGCCGCGGUAAUACGGAAGGUCCAGGCGUUAUCCGGAUUUAUUGGGUUUAAAGGGAGUGUAGGCGGUUUGUUAAGCGUGUUGUGAAAUUUAGAUGCUCAACAUUUAACUUGCAGCGCGAACUGUCAGACUUGAGUACACGCAACGUAUGCGGAAUUCAUGGUGUAGCGGUGAAAUGCUUAGAUAUCAUGAAGAACUCCGAUUGUGAAGGCAGCAUACGGGAGUGUAACUGACGCUUAAGCUCGAAGGUGCGGGUAUCGAACAGGAUUAGAUACCCUGGUAGUCCGCACAGUAAACGAUGGAUGCCCGCUGUUAGCGCCUGGCGUUAGCGGCUAAGCGAAAGCAUUAAGCAUCCCACCUGGGGAGUACGCCGGCAACGGUGAAACUCAAAGGAAUUGACGGGGGCCCGCACAAGCGGAGGAACAUGUGGUUUAAUUCGAUGAUACGCGAGGAACCUUACCCGGGCUUGAAUUGCAGAUG
RNAcentral lists this ribosomal RNA (490 nucleotides) under uncultured bacterium. RNAcentral describes it as "bacterial SSU rRNA". It matches the Rfam family "Bacterial small subunit ribosomal RNA", at positions 501 to 994 of the family's 1533-position model. The record is from RNAcentral.